This 430-nucleotide ribosomal RNA is filed under the name Mallinella sp. MR207. RNAcentral's name for it is "partial 16S ribosomal RNA". Lineage: Eukaryota; Metazoa; Arthropoda; Arachnida; Araneae; Zodariidae. The record is from RNAcentral.
UUCUAAAAGAAAUAAUUUUUAGUAAAAUCUGCUCAAUGAUAAAUUAAAUAGCCGCAAAUAGUGCUAAGGUAGCAUAAUCAUUUGUCUUUUAAUUAAAGACUAGCAUGAAUGAUUUAACAUUUAAAUUAAUUUCUUAAUUUAAAAAUAAAUUAUCUUAAAUAUAAAAAGAUAUUUAUAUAUAAGAAAGACGACAAGACCCUAUUGAACUUUACUUAAGUUCAACUGGGGAAGUUAAUUAACUAUAUUUUAAAAACAUUACUAAACAAAAUAACCUAAUAUUAUUAAAUAAAUUAAGUUACCAUAGGGAUAACAGCGUAAUAAUAUUUUACAGAUCUUAUAUAAAAUAUAGUUUACGACCUCGAUGUUGAAUAAUUACCUAAUUUAUGCAAUAAUAAAGAAAGGAAGUCUGUUCGACUUUUAAACAAUUACA